RNAcentral lists this ribosomal RNA (577 nucleotides) under Salmonella enterica subsp. enterica serovar Infantis. RNAcentral describes it as "partial 23S ribosomal RNA". It matches the Rfam family "Bacterial large subunit ribosomal RNA", at positions 612 to 1190 of the family's 2925-position model. RNAcentral also lists the same sequence under 1 other name. The record is from RNAcentral. Lineage: Bacteria; Pseudomonadati; Pseudomonadota; Gammaproteobacteria; Enterobacterales; Enterobacteriaceae.
AUAAUGGGUCAGCGACUUAUAUUCUGUAGCAAGGUUAACCGAAUAGGGGAGCCGGAGGGAAACCGAGUCUUAAUUGGGCGUUAAGUUGCAGGGUAUAGACCCGAAACCCGGUGAUCUAGCCAUGGGCAGGUUGAAGGUUGGGUAACACUAACUGGAGGACCGAACCGACUAAUGUUGAAAAAUUAGCGGAUGACCUGUGGCUGGGGGUGAAAGGCCAAUCAAACCGGGAGAUAGCUGGUUCUCCCCGAAAGCUAUUUAGGUAGCGCCUCGUGAAUUCAUCUCCGGGGGUAGAGCACUGUUUCGGCUAGGGGGCCAUCCCGGCUUACCAACCCGAUGCAAACUGCGAAUACCGGAGAAUGUUAUCACGGGAGACACACGGCGGGUGCUAACGUCCGUCGUGAAGAGGGAAACAACCCAGACCGCCAGCUAAGGUCCCAAAGUCAUGGUUAAGUGGGAAACGAUGUGGGAAGGCCCAGACAGCCAGGAUGUUGGCUUAGAAGCAGCCAUCAUUUAAAGAAAGCGUAAUAGCUCACUGGUCGAGUCGGCCUGCGCGGAAGAUGUAACGGGGCUAAACCAU